UACAGAGGUCUCAAGCGUUGUUCGGAUUCAUUGGGCGUAAAGGGUGCGUAGGCGGCGCGGUAAGUCGGGUGUGAAAUCUCGGAGCUUAACUCCGAAACUGCAUUCGAUACUGCCGUGCUUGAGGACUGGAGAGGAGACUGGAAUUUACGGUGUAGCGGUGAAAUGCGUAGAUAUCAGGAGGAACACCGCUGGCGAAGGCGGUUCUCUGGGCAUGAUCUGACGCUGAGGAGCGAAAGUGUGGGGAGCGAACAGG
RNAcentral lists this ribosomal RNA (253 nucleotides) under uncultured bacterium. RNAcentral's name for it is "partial 16S ribosomal RNA". It matches the Rfam family "Bacterial small subunit ribosomal RNA", at positions 524 to 776 of the family's 1533-position model. The record is from RNAcentral.